This 430-nucleotide ribosomal RNA is filed under the name uncultured prokaryote. Its description in RNAcentral is "partial 16S ribosomal RNA". The record is from RNAcentral.
CCCUACGGGGUGCAAAAGCGAAACGACGGUCUGUUGUUCGAGAUCGAUUCUGCUUUCCAAGGGCACGAGGGGCUGGAACUCGUUCAGCGGGCUCAGCAAGAUGGACGGCCUUAUGCAGUCGGGUUCGUCGACAUGCGGAUGCCCCCUGGUUGGGAUGGCCUUGAAACCACGCUUCGCAUUUUGGCGGCUGACCAGUCGAUUCAACUGGUAAUUUGCACGGCGUAUUCCGAUUACUCCUGGGAAGAAAUGGCGGAACGCUUGGGGUGUUGCGAUCGGGUGCUGAUUCUUAAGAAACCCUUCGACCCUGUCGAAAUUCUCCAGUUUGCCCGCGCGCUGAGCGAGAAGUGGCACCUAACGCGCCUCGCCGAAGCCAAACUGCAGCAGCUCGAAGAGACAGUCCAAACCCGCACAGGGGAAUUGGCGGGGGAGC